AUAUUUUUAAAGGUGUUUCAAAUCGGACUGUGACCGACCUCCAGCUCGGCUUCGUCUGAUCUCUCCACCUCAGAUUUUAAGCCUCGUAGCAACACUUAUAGAAUACCUAUUGUCAUGGAUUGUGAUAGAGUUUUGGUCAUAGAUUUUGGUAACAACAUGUUUAUCAUUUCUUUCACAACAUGGUUCUUUACAUCGAUUGCAAUGCUAAUGAAAAUGAGUAAAUCAUACACUUUACAAUAAAUAUUCAUAGGUUUGUCUCU
RNAcentral lists this long non-coding RNA (260 nucleotides) under Elaeis guineensis (African oil palm). Its description in RNAcentral is "long non-coding RNA (EGUI_LNC071986)". The record is from RNAcentral. Lineage: Eukaryota; Viridiplantae; Streptophyta; Magnoliopsida; Arecales; Arecaceae.